CCUACGGGAGGCAGCAGUGAGGAAUAUUGGUCAAUGGUCGGGAGACUGAACCAGCCAAGCCGCGUGAGGGAGGAAGGUACAGAGUAUCGUAAACCUCUUUUGUCAGGGAACAAAGACUGGGACGCGUCCCCGGAUGAGUGUACCUGAAGAAAAAGCAUCGGCUAACUCCGUGCCAGCAGCCGCGGUAAUACGGAGGAUGCGAGUGUUAUCGGGAUUUAUUGGGUUUAAAGGGUGCGCAGGCGGUCUGUUCAGUCAGCGGUCAAAGCCCGGGGCUCAACCCCGGCCCGCCGUUGAAACUGGCAGUCGCGAGUUGGAGAGAAGGAUGCGGAAUGCGCGGUGUAGCGGUGAAAUGCAUAGAUAUCGCGCAGAACUCCGAUUGCGAAGGCAGCAUGCCGGCUCCACACUGACGCUGAGGCACGAAAGCGUGGGUAUCGAACAGGAUUAGAUACCCGGGUAGUC
This 459-nucleotide ribosomal RNA is filed under the name uncultured bacterium. RNAcentral's name for it is "partial 16S ribosomal RNA". It matches the Rfam family "Bacterial small subunit ribosomal RNA", at positions 338 to 795 of the family's 1533-position model. The record is from RNAcentral.